AAAGAGCCAAUGAUGAUAGCAUAGUUCAUCAGAAAUAAUACUGAUGAUAUUUUUUGUCUUUCGCUCCUAUCUGAGGCCAGUU
Small nucleolar RNA from Ruditapes philippinarum (Manila clam), 82 nucleotides. RefSeq annotates it as small nucleolar RNA snR60/Z15/Z230/Z193/J17. The transcript has a single exon. The record is from RefSeq and is a predicted model, not a curated record. Lineage: Eukaryota; Metazoa; Mollusca; Bivalvia; Venerida; Veneridae.